RNAcentral lists this non-coding RNA (29 nucleotides) under Rattus norvegicus (Norway rat). The record is from RNAcentral. Lineage: Eukaryota; Metazoa; Chordata; Mammalia; Rodentia; Muridae.
UGGAAGACUCGAAAUUGCAUUUCCUGAGU